This 403-nucleotide ribosomal RNA is filed under the name bacterium. Its description in RNAcentral is "partial 16S ribosomal RNA". It matches the Rfam family "Bacterial small subunit ribosomal RNA", at positions 355 to 776 of the family's 1533-position model. The record is from RNAcentral.
UGGGGAAUAUUGCACAAUGGAGGGAACUCUGAUGCAGCGACGCCGCGUGAACGAAGAAGGCUUUCGAGUCGUAAAGUUCUUUUAUAUGGGAAGAUAAUGACGGUACCAUAAGAAAAAGCCCCGGCUAACUACGUGCCAGCAGCCGCGGUAAUACGUAGGGGGCUAGCGUUGUCCGGAAUCACUGGGCGUAAAGGGUUCGCAGGCGGAAAUGCAAGUCAGGUGUAAAAGGCAGUAGCUUAACUACUGUAAGCAUUUGAAACUGCAUAUCUUGAGAAGAGUAGAGGUAAGUGGAAUUUUUAGUGUAGCGGUGAAAUGCGUAGAUAUUAAAAAGAAUACCGGUGGCGAAAGCGACUUACUGGGCUAAUUCUGACGCUGAGGAACGAAAGCGUGGGUAGCAAACAGG